RNAcentral lists this microRNA (20 nucleotides) under Homo sapiens (human). Its description in RNAcentral is "hsa-miR-12131". Lineage: Eukaryota; Metazoa; Chordata; Mammalia; Primates; Hominidae. The record is from miRBase by way of RNAcentral.
UUUGGAGAGGUGUACUCCCA